UGGGCCUCGGGGCAUCGCUGUGGAGCCGCAAGACCCGGGUAUCGCCCACGUAGCCGACGACGCUGUACCGGUUCUUCAGAGGCAGAGAGAGAUGAAGUGGAAGUGAGAGAGAAAGACUGGUAUCAGGGAGAAACAUCGCUCAGUUGCACCCCAAGGUGCCCUGACCGGUGGUGAUCCCUACUCCAACUCAGGAAAAUUUCCCCUGCCGACAGAUCCCCUCUAUUUGAGGAGCCCGUGCCCCGAACCUGCUCGGAGCAGCGUGUCCUUCCCCUUCUCCAGGAGGCGGUGGAGGCGGCGCACGCAGAUGUCCUGCAGGAAGAAUCUCCUGACAUCCGCAUCAGGGAGCAGCACCAACUCGCGCCAGGUGAUCUGGGGCGCCAUGGCCGUGGUGGUCCAGGAGCACAGGUCCUCGUCCAGGGAGAGGAAUUCGGUGCCGUUGUAGGCGAACUGACUGAACCCGUGGAGGAAGCGCCCGUCCGACCCCACGACGCAGCCGGUCAUUUCCUGGAGGGUGUGAGACCCUGACCCCGCCCAAGGGCACCCUCGGCUCCAGUCUGGAACUGGCAGCGUCACUAUGGAACCGCAGGAUCUCCGUGUCGUCCAGGUAGAUGACGACGGUGUAGCGGUUCUUCUCGCCAAGGGGGUCAGGGUCAGGGUCCGGGACAGCAGGAGGAGCAGGGCUCGGGGCCCCAUGACGGAGAUCAACCAAACCUUCUGGUGGAGGAGUCCUG
Molecule: long non-coding RNA, 731 nt
Organism: Artibeus jamaicensis (Jamaican fruit-eating bat)
Lineage: Eukaryota; Metazoa; Chordata; Mammalia; Chiroptera; Phyllostomidae
Exons: 5
Source: RefSeq, a predicted model, not a curated record